CAACCAUCAAGCGCCCCGCUUGUGUUGGGGCCCUGCGGCUGCCGCAGACCCCUAAAUCCAGUGGCGGGCUCGUCGUCGUACCGAGUGCAGUAAACAUCCUCGCUCAGGGCACGCGCCGGGUCUCUUGCCGUGAAACACCCCACAUAUCAA
RNAcentral lists this unclassified non-coding RNA (150 nucleotides) under Schizothecium curvisporum. RNAcentral describes it as "partial internal transcribed spacer 2". The record is from RNAcentral. Lineage: Eukaryota; Fungi; Ascomycota; Sordariomycetes; Sordariales; Schizotheciaceae.